GGUCCCGGUGUCGUCACACUGGUGUCACACUGUCACGCUAUGGGUCCCGGUGUCACACUGGGUGCUAUGGGUCCCGGUGUCACGCUGUGAUUCUAUGGGUCCCGGUGUCACACUGUCACGCUAUGGGUCUUGGUGCCACAUUGGGGCGCUGUGGGUCCCGGUGUCACACUGGUGUCACACUGUCACGCUAUGGGUCCCGGUGUCACACUGGGUGCUAUGGGUCCCAGUGUCAUCAUCAGUGUCACACUGGGGCACUAUGGGUCCCGGUGUCACGCUGUGAUUCUAUGGGUCCCAGUGUCACGCUGUGAUUCUAUGGGUCCCGGUGUCACACUGUCACGCUAUGGGUCUUGGUGCCACAUUGGGGCGCUGUGGGUCUCAGUGUCACAUCGGUGUCACGCUGUGAUUCUAUGGGUCCCAGAGUCACACUGGUGUCACACUGGGCGCUGUGGGUCCCAGUGUCACACUGUCACGCUAUGGGUCCCAGUGUCACACUGGGGCACUGUGGGUCCCAAAGUCACACUGGGUGCUGUGGGUCCCGGUGUCACGCUGUGAUUCUAUGGGUCCCAGUGUCACACUGGGGCACUAUGGGUCCCCACUGUCCCCUCGGUGUCACACUGUCACGCUAUGGGUCUCAGUGUCACACUGGCGCUGUGGGUCCCAGUGUCACAUCGGUGCCACGCUGUGAUCCUAUGGGUCCCAGUGUCACACUGUCACACUAUGGGUCCCCACUGUCCCCUCGGUGUCACACUGUCACGCUAUGGGUCUCAGUGUCACACUGGCGCUGUGGGUCCCGGUGUCACAUCGGUGUCACGCCGUGAUUCUAUGGGUCCCGGUGUCACACUGGGCGCUGUGGGUCCCGGUGUCGUCACACUGGUGUCACACUGUCACGCUAUGGGUCCCGGUGUCACACUGGGUGCUAUGGGUCCCAGUGUCACACUGGUGUCACACUGGUGUCACAUUGGUGUCACAUUGGUGUCACACUGGUGUCACAUUGGUGUCACACUGGUGUCACACUGGGGCGCUGCUCCUGGUUAAGGCACCACUGGAAAACUCAAAGGGAAAGGAGGCACCGGGGG
This 1076-nucleotide long non-coding RNA is filed under the name Numida meleagris (helmeted guineafowl). RNAcentral describes it as "lncRNA (ENSNMEG00000002965.1)". The record is from RNAcentral. Lineage: Eukaryota; Metazoa; Chordata; Aves; Galliformes; Numididae.